CACGUAGUUAGCCGGUGCUUCUUCUGCUCCUACCGUCACAAUAAAGCUUCGUCAGAGCUGAAAGAGGUUUACAACCCGAAGGCCGUCAUCCCUCGCGCGGCGUCGCUGCAUCAGGCUUUCGCCCAUUGUGCAAUAUUCCCCACUGCUGCCUCCCGUAGGAGUCUGGGCCGUGUCUCAGUCCCAGUGUGGCCGGUCACCCUCUCAGGCCGGCUACCCGUCGUCGCCUUGGUGGGCCAUUACCCCACCAACAAGCUGAUAGGCCGCGAGUCCAUCCUCCACCACAAAAGCUUUCCACCCCAUACCCAUGCAGGUUGAGGUCGUAUCCAGUAUUAGCACCGGUUUCCCGGAGUUAUCCCAGAGUGAAGGGCAGGUUACUCACGUGUUACUCACCCGUUCGCCACUAAUCCACGGUGCAAGCACCGCUUCAUCGUUCGACUUGCAUGUGUUAAGCACGCCGCCAGCGUUCGUCCUGAGCCAGGAUCAAACUCU
This 489-nucleotide ribosomal RNA is filed under the name uncultured Ornithinimicrobium sp. RNAcentral describes it as "partial 16S ribosomal RNA". The record is from RNAcentral. Lineage: Bacteria; Bacillati; Actinomycetota; Actinomycetes; Micrococcales; Ornithinimicrobiaceae.